CCUACGGGAGGCUGCAGUGGGGAAUAUUGCACAAUGGGGGAAACCCUGAUGCAGCGACGCCGCGUGAGUGACGAAGUAUUUCGGUACGUAAAACUUUAUCAGCAGGGAAGCAAAUGACGGUACCUGACUAAGAAGCCCCGGCUAACUACGUGCCAGCAGCCGCGGUACUACGUAGGGGGCACGGGUGAUCCGGAUUUACUGGGUGUAAAGGGAGCGUAGACGGUGAUGCAAGUCUGAAGUGAAAGGCGGGGGCCCAACCCCCGGACUGCUGUGGAAACUGUUUGGCUAGAGUGUAGGAGAGGUAAGUGGAAUUCGUAGUGUAGCGGUGAAAUGCGUAGAUAUUAGGAGGAACACCAGUGGCGAAGGCAGCAUACUGGAGUAUAACUGACGUUGAGGCUCGAAAGCGUGGGGAGCGAACAGGAUUAGAUACCCUGGUAGUC
Molecule: ribosomal RNA, 440 nt
Filed under: uncultured bacterium
Lineage: Bacteria
Description: partial 16S ribosomal RNA
Rfam family: Bacterial small subunit ribosomal RNA
Source: RNAcentral